This 24-nucleotide small nuclear RNA is filed under the name Arabidopsis thaliana (thale cress). RNAcentral describes it as "snRNA_08912". Lineage: Eukaryota; Viridiplantae; Streptophyta; Magnoliopsida; Brassicales; Brassicaceae. The record is from RNAcentral.
UUUUAGACUUUGUCUCUUUUCUCU